GUUUUUGAACGCAAGUUGCGCCCGAAGCCAUUAGGCCGAGGGCACGUCUGCCUGGGCGUCACGCAUCGCGUCGCCCUCCCCACGCCUCGCCCCGGAACGGGACGAGGAUCGCGCGGGAGGGCGGAGAGUGGCCUCCCGUGCCAGCGCGCGGCCGGCCUAAACCCGAGUACCUCGUGGAGGAGGACGUCACGACAAGUGGUGGUUGAAACCCUCAUCCCGAACGCGAGUCGUGCGUUUCCCCGCUGCCGAGGAGACCCCCGACCCUCCAGCGAGCCCCCUCCGCCCGGAGGAGCGCUCGCCACGACCGCGACCCCAGGUCAGGCGGGACUACCCGCUGAGUUUAAGCAUAUCAAUAAGCGGAGGAAAAGAAACUAACAAGGAUUCCCUUAGUAACGGCGAGCGAACCGGGAAAAGCCCA
This 418-nucleotide ribosomal RNA is filed under the name Alstonia scholaris. RNAcentral describes it as "eukaryotic LSU rRNA". The stretch from base 308 to 418 matches the Rfam family "Eukaryotic large subunit ribosomal RNA", at positions 1 to 111 of the family's 3401-position model. Lineage: Eukaryota; Viridiplantae; Streptophyta; Magnoliopsida; Gentianales; Apocynaceae. The record is from RNAcentral.